Molecule: ribosomal RNA, 775 nt
Filed under: uncultured Neocallimastigales
Lineage: Eukaryota; Fungi; Neocallimastigomycota; Neocallimastigomycetes; Neocallimastigales
Description: partial large subunit ribosomal RNA
Rfam family: Eukaryotic large subunit ribosomal RNA
Source: RNAcentral
CGAGCACGCGCGUGUGGCAUAUCAAUAAGCGGAGGAAAAGAAACUAACAAGGAUUCCCUUAGUAACGGCGAGUGAAGCGGGAAGAGCUCAAAUUUGAAAUCUUCAAGGUUCUACCUUGACGAAUUGUAGUUUAUAGAAGUGUUUUCUGUUAGUAGAGUGGCAAAAGUUCUUUGGAAUAGGACAUCAUAGAGGGUGAGAAUCCCGUAUUUGGUCAUUCUUUCUAGCUUUGUGAUACACUUUCAACGAGUCGGAUUGUUUGGGAAUGCAGUCCAAAGUGGGUGGUAAAUUUCAUCUAAAGCUAAAUAUUGGCGAGAGACCGAUAGCGAACAAGUACCGUGAGGGAAAGAUGAAAAGAACUUUGAAAAGAGAGUUAAACAGUACGUGAAAUUGUCAAAAGGGAAGCGUUUGACACCAGUGUUGUUUUUCCGAAAAUCAAUUACGAAUGUUUUGUUUUUGAGGAGUUAUGACUUCAUCGGCUUGCUUCUCUCUUUACGAAACUUUCUUAAUGCACUUUUCGGUUAACAAGUCAACAUCAAUUUCUUUUGUUGUAAAAGGGUAUGAGGAAGGUGGCUUUCUUUUCGGAGAAAGUGUUUAUAGCCUUGUACCUCUGCAAUCGGAGAGAUUGAGGUCUGCAGCGUAGAUCCUUCGGGGUUAGAUACAUUUGUGCUAAGCUAUAGCCUUGUAUAGACAACUUGUUGACUAUGCUCAGUCAUUGUAGCUUACUCGCUUAUGCUAUUUUACCUACGCUUAGGAUGUUGAGUAGCGACAUACGCAC